RNAcentral lists this long non-coding RNA (207 nucleotides) under Lathyrus oleraceus (garden pea). RNAcentral describes it as "Pisum sativum (pea) long non-coding RNA (PSAT_LNC003448)". The record is from RNAcentral. Lineage: Eukaryota; Viridiplantae; Streptophyta; Magnoliopsida; Fabales; Fabaceae.
AAAUAUUCAUUUACUUUCCACUUGUUCACUCCUUUGUAGUGGGGCUUAAUAGUAUAAAAUCAUAUGCAAUAUAACACUAGUAAUUAGCUACAUAAGAAACAAUAUGCAAUAUAGUACUUGCAAAGAACCUUUACGAGAUUAGCAGUAUAUUCCACUGGAAGCAAGCGUCUCAUAAAUUCAUAAAUCCUAAGAUUUAGUAUGCAGAAA